CACAUGCAAGUCGAACGGUAACAGGAAGCAGCUUGCUGCUUUGCUGACGAGUGGCGGACGGGUGAGUAAUGUCUGGGAAACUGCCUGAUGGAGGGGGAUAACUACUGGAAACGGUGGCUAAUACCGCAUAACGUCGCAAGACCAAAGAGGGGGACCUUCGGGCCUCUUGCCAUCAGAUGUGCCCAGAUGGGAUUAGCUUGUUGGUGAGGUAACGGCUCACCAAGGCGACGAUCCCUAGCUGGUCUGAGAGGAUGACCAGCCACACUGGAACUGAGACACGGUCCAGACUCCUACGGGAGGCAGCAGUGGGGAAUAUUGCACAAUGGGCG
Molecule: ribosomal RNA, 329 nt
Filed under: Salmonella enterica subsp. enterica serovar Typhi
Lineage: Bacteria; Pseudomonadati; Pseudomonadota; Gammaproteobacteria; Enterobacterales; Enterobacteriaceae
Description: bacterial SSU rRNA
Rfam family: Bacterial small subunit ribosomal RNA
Source: RNAcentral